RNA transcript from Magnolia sinica, 1011 nucleotides. RefSeq lists it as uncharacterized. The record is from RefSeq and is a predicted model, not a curated record. Lineage: Eukaryota; Viridiplantae; Streptophyta; Magnoliopsida; Magnoliales; Magnoliaceae. The transcript has 4 exons.
AAACAGAUUACUGGAUUUCAAAUAGAAAUUUCUCCUCCUGAGCGUAAACCCUAAGCCGUACACUAACAUAGCACAUCGAGAAGGAAGAAAUUCUCUGUUUAAAGGACUCACUCGACUCGACAAACUGUUGGGCGGAGUUUUCCGAAUUUUGGUUUCAUCCGUUUCACAACAAGUUGCCCAAUUUUGGAUUCAAAUGCUGUAAUGGAAAAUGCUUCUGGGAAAAUGCCGGCAGACAGCAGAGGGGUGAAAAGACCGUUGGCGGAAUUGGAAGCAGGAGCAGUCUCUGAGCGUUGUUCAAUCUCAGACUUGAGGGAUUUGUGUGAAAAGCUCCAGCACUUCCUUGAGCAGACGAGAAAUAUUGUUGCGGCUGUCUGCACCAUGCUUGAAUUGAGGAUUUCAAACUUGGGGCGGCUGAAUUUUGCCCGCCGGUAUUACCUUGAGCGUGCUUCCCGACGGUCAUUAGAAUUGGCGUCGACAUUAUCUGAGAUUCGAACAGAGGUAUCUGAGCUGAAAGACUCAUUAUCCUUUUCAGAUUUUGAUGUGGGGGCCAAGGAAUAUUUGUCAAUUCUGAAGUCGGUCCUGCGCGUUCUGUCGGCUUUGUUGAAGAUCACGGGGUGGCAGUUUUGAUGUUCUGAGGAGACAUUGUUUUUGGAGGCGGAACAAUGCUUGAAACAGGAAUUCCAGUUCCAGUAUGAGUAUACUCUGGAUCCGUUGACCUGAUGGAUGCUAACACGGAUGAAGAUUUCUUGAAAAUUCUCCCAGGUCAGGAGAGAUUCUAGCCAGUCCAUCUCGUGGGGUAGUUAAAUUCUUUCAAAUGAUAAGGGACACACCUUAUUGUAAUAAUCCACUUCAAUAUAGCUCUCCUUUACUCCCUUUUCUCUCUGUUAUUCUUUACCCUCUGCUAAAUUAGCACAAUAGUUCAUCUUUCUUUUAGGACUAACUGCGUGAAUGUUGACUGGGCUAAAAGCAUGUAAAACAUUUUAAACAUCGUUGUAUGUCCAGUUGAAGUUA